Molecule: unclassified non-coding RNA, 254 nt
Filed under: uncultured fungus
Lineage: Eukaryota; Fungi
Description: sequence contains ITS2
Rfam family: 5.8S ribosomal RNA (bases 1-52)
Source: RNAcentral
AACGCACAUUGCGCCCUUUGGUAUUCCAAAGGGCAUGCCUGUUCGAGCGUCAUUUGUACCCUCAAGCUUUGCUUGGUGUUGGGCGUCUUGUCUCUAGCUUUGCUGGAGACUCGCCUUAAAGUAAUUGGCAGCCGGCCUACUGGUUUCGGAGCGCAGCACAAGUCGCACUCUCUAUCAGCAAAGGUCUAGCAUCCAUUAAGCCUUUUUUUUCAACUUUUGACCUCGGAUCAGGUAGGGAUACCCGCUGAACUUAA